RNAcentral lists this ribosomal RNA (253 nucleotides) under uncultured bacterium. Its description in RNAcentral is "partial 16S ribosomal RNA". It matches the Rfam family "Bacterial small subunit ribosomal RNA", at positions 524 to 776 of the family's 1533-position model. The record is from RNAcentral.
UACAGAGGGGGCAAGCGUUGUUCGGAAUUACUGGGCGUAAAGGGCGCGUAGGCGGCCAACUAAGUCAGACGUGAAAUCCCUCGGCUCAACCGGGGAACUGCGUCUGAUACUGGGUGGCUUGAAUCCGGGAGAGGGAUGCGGAAUUCCAGGUGUAGCGGUGAAAUGCGUAGAUAUCUGGAGGAACACCGGUGGCGAAGGCGGCAUCCUGGACCGGCAUUGACGCUGAGGCGCGAAAGCCAGGGGAGCAAACGGG